AAAAGUUAAGUUGGAGCUUUUGAAUGUAAUAUGCUAAGUAGCAAGGAAAGUUAAUAGCAUCUUUGUUUUGCACCUGAUUUUUUUUUUUAUUAGUAGAACCUUAUGAGUGCCACACCAAGAACAUUUUUAAAUACUAGUCUAUAAUUCUGCCACUUAAUAACUUUUCAUUUUGUUGUGCCCCGUCUUUACCAUACAUAUUUCUAAAUCAAUGAAUCAUCCUAGGUUCUGUAAUGGGUAGUAAUUUGUUCAAAAGGGGUUUUGGGCAGACAUUAGCUGCAGGAUGCACCAUGAUUAUAGGUGGGAGAGAUUAGAGAUAAAUGCCUCGUGGAAAGGCAGCUGUAGACUAUAAUAAUCUAGGCUCCCAAGGAUCGUAGAGUUCACAGGGAGAGCGGCCAGGCUGUAGAGAAGAAACAGAUCCCGGAGCACUCUGAAUCUCUGUAGAGAUCCAUUUCAACCUGACAGAAUGUUAAGAGGCAGUAUCCUUGAAGCUGAGGAACUGUCUCCAUCAUCAUACAUGUAGAAAAAAUAUCUGAACAUUUAAGUGGAAGUGCCCCCAUACCUGGGAAAUGGCUUCCAAAGAACAAGAGACUCAACCAACACCCCUGUUCCACAGCCACAAAGAACUUGAGCUUUCUGGUGGUGAACUGGACAUGGAAGUUGUUUUUACCAACAGGAGAAGAGGAAGAGUAACAGUUAUAAAGGGAAUUGACAGCAAGUUGGCUCAUCGGUUGCCAGGGAAACCAGCAGAGGUGUUUGUUGCUGAGUACGGGCUUUCUCUAGUUGCGGUGACGGGGCUUCUCAUCGCAGUGGCUUCUCUUGUGGAGAAAGGGCUUUUGGCACCAGGGCUUUAUGGGAUUAGUUGCUCCACGGCAUGUGGAAUCUUCCUGGACCAGCGAUCAAACCCGUGUCCCCUGAAUUAUCAGGUGAAUUCUUAACCACUGAACCACCAGGGAAGUCCCAAGAAUGUUCCAUCUUUCAGUUCUGUUUGAUGUAAACAGUUGCACCUACAACAAGAUACUAACAGUCAGGUACCAAGAGGAAUUUUGAAAGAUACUCUAUAUAAAUAUAGGAAUUGCCCAAGCAAGCACUAAAACCUAUAGGCAAC
Bos taurus (domestic cattle) is the source of this 1105-nucleotide long non-coding RNA. The record is from Ensembl. NCBI's taxonomy places the organism in Eukaryota, Metazoa, Chordata, Mammalia, Artiodactyla, Bovidae.